Non-coding RNA from Malus domestica (apple), 5321 nucleotides. Lineage: Eukaryota; Viridiplantae; Streptophyta; Magnoliopsida; Rosales; Rosaceae. The record is from RefSeq and is a predicted model, not a curated record.
ACUCUUACCCUUACUUUCUAAUUCUCACUGCUCUAACUCUGACUCUCCAUCUCAGGUCUCUCAGUUCUCUCACUCUCCUCUCAUCUGACCCUGCUUUCAAGCCGAGCAACACCGGCUCUCAUCUUUGUCAGCCUCUCUACCACUCUAUUGGCUUAUCGAUUGAUCACGAGCAGCCGUCGAUCUGAUUCUUCUUCGGCUUAGAGUGAUGAGUUAACCCAAGUGCUCAAUUGGUGGCCAGUAGGAUCUAAGCAUCGACUGUGGAGUUGGCAGUCGCCAUAAGUUUGAUUGCAUAAUUGCCUCAUCCCCGAUCUGCCAGGCCAGUCCAUAGUACCAGUCGCCACUAGCCGCCCCCCACGAUUACAUCACCCCUUUCUGGCAAUGUAGAGGUAUCUGUGGAUGAAAGGGAGAAAGAAAAACACCCACCCUAUUGGGCGCUGAAGACAAACCGGAUCAUGCGGACCACCCUAGUAAUCGGCCUGAAGAUACUCCAAAUGUGUACUUGGCGGGAUUGAGCUUCAUCUUAUACCUUCUAAAGAUGUCAAAAGUUUCCGCCAAGUUACCGAUGUGAUCGGAUCGCUGCUUGCCUUUCACCAUGAUGUUAUCGACAUAGACCUCCAUGGUGACUCUAAUUUUAAACAUCAUGUUUACUAACCUUUGGUAAGUGGCCCCCGCGUUCUUGAGGCCAAAUGGCAUGACCUUGUAGCAAUAGGUGUCUUGCUCGAUCACGAAUAUGGUUUUUUCCUUGUCGGGCUUGUACAUGGCUAUUUGGUUGUAGCCAGAGUAGGUGUCCAAGAAACUAACCAGCUGGUUCCCAUAAGUCGAAUCUACUAAUUGAUCGAUUUGGGAAAGUGGAUAAGGAUCAUUUGGGCAUGCUUUGUUGAGGUCAGUGUAGUUUACGUAAACCCUUCAUUUACCCUUUGUUUCUUCUUUACUAAUAUGAUGUGGGCAAGCCAUGCUGAAUGUGCUACGUCUUCUAUGAAUCCAGCCUCAAGUAAGUUGUCAAUUUUCGCUUCAAUGAUCACUGCUCACUUGGGUGUGAAAUGUCUUUUCUUUUAGAUUAACGAUUUGGCAGCGGGGUAGACGUGCAGCUUGUGGCAAGCUAUCUUGGGGUCGAUGUCGGGCAUGUCAAAAUGUGACCAUGCGAAGAUGUUAUGUUUUUCCAUAAGGAAAGCUGUGAGUUCUCCUUUUCUUUCGGCUUCAGAUGUGAGCCAAUUCUAGCCGUCUUUUCCAGCUGCUGGGGAUUAAGAAUGAUGUCCUCAGCGUCUUUUUCGGGUUUCCAUCCUAUCUCGUCUGCUAGCGCGUUGGAUCUAAUGCCAUCUUCUUGAUCCGCUUGCUGUAAUUGCUAUUUGGUAGCUUCAUCGUUCAUUCGGACCUCGGUAGCCUUUACGGGGGUAAAGGUUUUCUUCUUUGAUUCCUUCAAUACUUGCACAGUGCAUUGUCGAGAUGUGGCCUAGUCAGACUUGAUUUAUCCAACUCAUUCUCUCGGGAUGCAGAAUUGAUUUUUUUUUAUACUUGACAGAAAUGAUGGUGUCCAGCUUGAUUAGCCAAGGUCUUCCAAGAAUCCCAUUGUAGGGAGAUGGGUCGUUUACGAUCAUGAACGUCUACUUUGAGACAACUGGUGGUGUUUUCAUGUCAAGUGUGAUGUGGCCGAUGGCAGUCGAGGUGUGCCCGUUGAAUCCGGUAAGUACCUCCGCUCGGUGUAUGAUUGUGCUUUCUAAGCUCAUCUUCUAAAUUACUGAGAGUUGAAAUAGGUUGACCGCACUUCCAUUGCCAUCAUUUUGUCAACUAUAGCAUGGGCCAGUUAGACAGAUACUACUAGUGUGUCAUCGACGUCUGUGUUCCUUCUAGGCUGCGCAGCUGUCUUGUCCAAGUAUAUGUUGACUUUGCCUUCUUUCACUAGCUUCUCUAGGUAGUUCUUCCAAGUGUAACAGUCGUCCAUUGUGUGACCGGGACCUCGGUGGAACAUGCAGUACUUGGUGUGAUCCAACUUAAAAGUAUGUCCCUUUGAUUAUUUCGGCAGCUUGAACUAUGGCUCGUUCUUAAUGUAGCGAAGGAUUUGGUGGAUCAGGAUUGAGAACUUGCAGUAGUUCUUAGUCGUCGGGCCUUCUUUGGUCAUGGGUCGGCCCCUACGCUCAGUCUCACAUCUCGCCCCAGGUCCCACCAUAUCUAGCUCGACUCCGCCGUAGCACAAUAUUGUUCGUUUUGGGCCUCGACCUUGCCUCAUAAUUUUGUUUCUAGGAACUCACACGAGAACUUCCCAAUAGGUCACCCAUCUUAGGAAUGCUCUUGCGCGAACUCGCUUAACUUCGGAGUUCUGAUGGAACCUGAAGCUAGUGAGUUCCUAAAAGGCCUCGUGCUAGGUAGAUAUAGGAAUAUACAUAUAAGGCUUACAAGAUCCACUACUCUGGGCGAUGUGGGAUGUUACAAUCCACCCCCUUAAGGGCCUGACAUCCUCAUUGACACUCACACAGAACGACAGAGUGGCUAUGAUACCAAAUUAUCAUAUCUCAGCCCGGGCCCUUACCACAUCCCAGGCUCGACUCCAUCGUAGCACGACAUUGUCCGCUUUGGGCCCUGACCACGCCUUCACGAUUUUGUUUCUAGGAACUCACACGAGAACUUCCCAAUGGGUCACCCAUCUUGGGAUUGCUCGGGCGCAUCGUCUGCUCGCCGAGCCUCGUCCCAAAGUGCAUGUUUCUCUGCCAAAGCGAAAGAGUAUGUUAGGGUUAUAUCUUCUUUCAUGAUCAAUUCUCCAAAUAAUGGAUGGUCUGCUAGGAGUCCUUUUUGGAAGGUUGUGCUUACUAUUGAGUCGUUGCAUCCGACUAUCUUCACCUUCUUUGCUUUGAACCUCUUCAAGUAGUCUUGGAGGGACUCUUUUGGGUUGUUCUUCACGUUGAACAAGUGGUUGGACUUUUUUUUUAUCGAGCAGUGGGAUGAGUAUUCUUAGGUGAAAACCAAGGAAAUAUCAUCAACACUCCGGAUGGAUCGUGGUGGUAAGGUGUGGAACCAAUCUUGCGCCUUGCCUUGUAAAGUGGUGGCGAAUAUCUUGUACAUAAGAGCAUCGUUGUUUCGAUAAAGGACCAUUGUGCUUCGGUAGUGCUUCAAGUACCUUUCCGGAUCUCCAUCUCUUUUAAAAUAUGUGAAAUGUUGUAUGCUAAACUUACGUGGAGGUUCUACCUGCUCGAUCUCAUCCGUGAAGGAUGACUUGCUCAUAUUGGUCAUGUCUCGUCUUAAAGCUUCAUCGGUGACUUCAUUGCGUUGGAAAUUACGCAAUCGCUCGUUUAAGAACCUUUCUACCUCUUCCUAAAUUUGCCUUUGUUGGGGGUAUCAGAGCUUUCAGUUGCCUCUUGUCUUGACCUGCUAGUUUAGACUGCUCUUCUACAUGUUUAGCUCGUCUAUGUUGCGGCAGCGGUGCAUGUGGUUCAUUCCUAGCAGGUGAAGGAAUUCUUCGCAGGCUGCUGGUUGAACUUUAGCUGAACUGAGUGACUGCUUCUCUUUGUCCUUUGUGCCGUAUACUUCGAUGUAAGGUGGAAGAUGCUCCUUGCGAACCUAGCUAUGAAUGAACACUUCGCUUGGAAGGUUGCUCAUGUUAACUAUCAGAGUGUGAACCCAACAGUGAAUGUAUGCUCGUCCAUGGGCCUAGUUGAGAGUGCAUGCUCCUCUGCACGCUAAGACGAAAGUAUAUGCUAUCUCAAGGGCCCAAUCGGGAGUGUACACUGCCCGAACGCUCGGUUAGUGGCUGAUCGAGUGGCUGCUUGCUGGGACGCUGCUGGAGAAGUUCUUCGUCUGCCAUUGUCCUACUUCAAGACACUUGUCUUGGGCACAUUGCAUCUUAGUGUGUUGCAAGAGUUGAUUCACCAUGGUCGUCUGCUGUGUGAGGACGCUCAUCAACUUUAUAACUUAUCGAGACAAGUAUUGUUCUCCAUUUAGGUUGGAAGAGCUCGAAAUGUAUGUGUCUCCUUUAGUGGUGGAAGUGUGGUAAACUCCGAGUGUGAGAUUUGAGUUGGGAAAUGUUAAAUCCGCGGAGAAAUAUAGUGAAAAUGCCCUCAGUUCAAUUGUCGGUCAGGAAAUUUGAAGCUGGGAUGGUUGGACCAGUCUUAGAACAAUUUGGGCUGCUUAGAAGGCCACGGGAAUGGGUUAGGCCACAAGAGUGGGCUGCUCGGCAUGUAGCGUACGUGGGUGCGAGGCUAGGGCUUGACUCGGCCACUUGUUGGGCUCGCGUUGGGCUUGAGUGGCUCGGGCCGGCUCGUCUUGGGCUUGGGCCUUUGUAGGCUUGAAUGGCACGACUUGGGCCAUGGUUAUGGCGCUGUGGGCCUUGCUUGUCGUGGUGGUUGCCACGGUGGUGCCACUCCACUCAUCGUCGUGUUGAGUCUCGUGGAUCACCGUGGUCCUAAUUCUUGAACGUUGGAAUUUUCGUUCGUUGAGAUUUUUGAAUUUCUUGUCAUUGUAUUCUUCUUUUACGAUUAUUCAAAGAAUUUUUACAGAAAAAAUUCUAGGAACAAGAACAUACGAAAAAUCUACAAAUGAACAAGAAAAACAAAAAAUCUUGAAUGCGAGAGUGUUCUACAAGCAUGUGACUCAACUCUUAAUGAAAGCACCAAUUUGUGGAUACAAAUUUUUGCCUUCUUCUUCUUGAACAAAAUUGCACCUACAAAACAAUUAAUACAUUAGGUCAAGGCCAAGAGCCUCACGCGCUCACGAUGAAUGAUGGUGGCUUUUUCUGAAGAACCUUUGAUGCCAAAAUUAGAAUUUGAGGGAAAAGUGUUUAGAGAAAUUUGGAGAAUUUAGCAAGAGAGUUGGAAUUAGGUUUUUGGUGAAAUGAGGUGGUAUUUAUAGGGGUGUGGCCAGCUUCUUUGGGAGAGAUGGGAACUGGCCACAUUUGGUGGCUUUUGGGUGUAAUUGCAAGAUAUUAUGUCAAAAUAAUAUCUUGCGAUCAAUUAGGAAAUUAAUUAAUCAAUUAGAAAAUUAAUUAAUUAGGAAAUUAAUCAAUUAAUUUAUGUACUUAAUCAUAUUUUGAAUAAAUAUUUUGGAGGUUACCUUGCGGAAAGGGUCUGCAUGAGGAUGGAUGAAAUAAGUUUUGAAUAAAUACCUAUUUUGAUCACCUUUAACCUUGAUUGAGUUGUGAUUGUUGAUGAGUCAAUAUUAUAUUAUAUAUUUUACCCUAUUCUUAGUAUAAUUUGGUAAUUGUUUUGGUAGAAUUUUGAUACUUUGCUUUAUAUUUUCAAUAUAGGAUAUUCAACUUCUUCUGGAGCAAAACAUGAUCAAAUGGAUGAAUUUUGGAGCAAUUCAAAUUGAAAGACGUUCGUAUGCCUCUUGGCUUG